CACAAAAAAUAAUACAUUUAAAA
Molecule: small nuclear RNA, 23 nt
Filed under: Arabidopsis thaliana (thale cress)
Lineage: Eukaryota; Viridiplantae; Streptophyta; Magnoliopsida; Brassicales; Brassicaceae
Description: snRNA_06949
Source: RNAcentral